Molecule: ribosomal RNA, 497 nt
Filed under: uncultured bacterium
Lineage: Bacteria
Description: partial 16S ribosomal RNA
Rfam family: Bacterial small subunit ribosomal RNA
Source: RNAcentral
GAUGAACGCUGGCGGCGUGCCUAAUACAUGCAAGUCGAGCGAACGGACGAGAAGCUUGCUUCUCUGAUGUUAGCGGCGGACGGGUGAGUAACACGUGGAUAACCUACCUAUAAGACUGGGAUAACUUCGGGAAACCGUAGCUAAUACCGGAUGAUAUUUUGAACCGCAUGGUUCAAAAGUGAAAGACGGUCUUGCUGUCACUUAUAGAUGGAUCCGCGCUGCAUUAGCUAGUUGGUAAGGUAACGGCUUACCAAGGCAACGAUGCAUAGCCGACCUGAGAGGGUGAUCAGCCACACUGGAACUGAGACACGGCCCAGACUCCUACGGGAGGCAGAAGUAGGGAAUCUUCCGCAAUGGGCGAAAGCCUGACGGAGCAACGCCGCGUGAGUGAUGAAGGUCUUCGGAUCGUAAAACUCUGUUAUUAGGGAAGAACAUAUGUGUAAGUAACUGUGCACAUCUUGACGGUACCUAAUCAGAAAGCCACGGCUAACUACGUG